GAGCCCCGCCCGAGCCGGGCGGAGCGGAGCGCGCGGAGCCUAGACCCGCUGCCGGGCCGGGGCUGGGCCGGAGCGGCGGCGCCUGGAUGCCGGCCCGGGGCUGGGCCGGAGACUGGCGCCCGCCCCGAAGCGACUUUCGGUCCCCGACCCGCUCCGCCUGACCCCUAUGAUGAAGAGGGCGUCCACUGGAGUUCUUGCUGUCGACAUCUUUGACAAGUUCAACUUCACGGGAGCCAGAGUCCCAUGGUUCGACGCCAUUCAUGAAGAAUUCCCCAGGGAGCUGGAGUCCUCCAUCUCCUUCCCAGCCAACUUCUUCAAACCACCUGAAGAAAAAGAAGGCCCCCUGGUAAGGCCAGCCAGCCGGAGGACCACCCCGCAGACCACACGCCCAGGGCCUGGCACCGAGGGGGAGGCCCCGAUCAGCAGGUGAAAGCGACACCCUGAUGACACUGGCUAGUUCACCUUCACUCUGGUCAUCGUUUACUGUACCCCGGGGCAGCUCCCGCCUGAGCCCUAUGACCCCAACCGCCGCAGCCUCUGGCUGCCUCACUGGCCCAUCAUUAAUACGUCGAUGGUGAGCGCACUGGUGUACAGCGAGGGGGCUCCACUUCCGAGACCCCUGGAGAGGCCCGUCCUGGUGGAGUUCACCCUGCUGGAGAUGGAGAAGCGAACCAAGCCUGUCUGUGUGUUCUGGAACCAUUCCCUGGCGUAAAUGUGAUGCCGGGAGUUCUGCAUCUUCAUACCAAGAGCAGUGAUGACCUUUUAGCUGGAAUGGCCAGAGGGGUAACGGUGACUAAUGGUGUUAAAGGGAAGGAAAGCUCCUGCCCAUCUGCAGCACCUUCGGCAUCUGCCCCUGCCAUGACCACUGUGGAGAACAAAUCCAAGAUUAGCACAGGGCACCAACUGGACAGAGGCCUCCGGUCAGCCUCACUCUGACUGCAACCCCCUCUCACUGGACAGCAUCACCUGGACACAGAGCCUCACCUAGUCUGUGUCCCAUGGACACAACUUUGCUUUGGACAGUGACACCAAGAAUACUCACCCCUUUACUUAGCCAGACCACAGGCAGCCACCUGGACACAAACAUCUCUCCAGAGUCAGCCUCCACACAGACUCCACAGCAGAACUCCCAGGGAGGCACUGGGGCAUGGCUUCAGAGCACCAGGCAGCGCUCCGCGGUGCCUAGCACCCGCUCAGCCAGGGCAGCCUGCAGCGGAGCUUGGAGCCAGCAGCUUCUCAUCUCUUGGCCUCGGGAAAUGUAGCUGGAGUCAUCAUUUAGCAGAGCACGGUGUCCCUGGGUUGGCCACCCAGCUUAGUUUUAAAAUAAAAUAAUGUAAUCUUGGCCUAAUGGUGGAA
RNAcentral lists this long non-coding RNA (1356 nucleotides) under Homo sapiens (human). RNAcentral describes it as "DiGeorge syndrome critical region gene 5, transcript variant 3 (DGCR5)". The record is from RNAcentral. Lineage: Eukaryota; Metazoa; Chordata; Mammalia; Primates; Hominidae.